Molecule: ribosomal RNA, 40 nt
Filed under: Diaporthe rosicola
Lineage: Eukaryota; Fungi; Ascomycota; Sordariomycetes; Diaporthales; Diaporthaceae
Description: partial 18S ribosomal RNA
Source: RNAcentral
UAACAAGGUCUGUGUUGGUGAACCAGCGGAGGGAUCAUUG